RNAcentral lists this ribosomal RNA (1372 nucleotides) under uncultured bacterium. Its description in RNAcentral is "bacterial SSU rRNA". It matches the Rfam family "Bacterial small subunit ribosomal RNA", at positions 27 to 1390 of the family's 1533-position model. The record is from RNAcentral.
GAUUGAACGCUGGCGGUAUGCUUAACACAUGCAAGUCGAACGGAAACGAUACUAGCUUGCUAGUAGGCGUCGAGUGGCGGACGGGUGAGUAACGCGUAGGAAUCUGCCUGAUAGUGGGGGAUAGCCCGAAGAAAUUCGGAUUAAUACCGCAUAAUCUAUUCGUAGUAAAGUGGGGGACUUUCGAGCCUCACGCUAUCAGAUGAGCCUGCGUAAGAUUAGCUAGUUGGUAGGGUAAAAGCCUACCAAGGCUACGAUCUUUAGCUGGUCUGAGAGGAUGAUCAGCCACAUCGGGACUGAGACACGGCCCGAACUCCUACGGGAGGCAGCAGUGGGGAAUAUUGGACAAUGGGGGCAACCCUGAUCCAGCAAUACCGCGUGUGUGAAGAAGGCCUGAGGGUUGUAAAGCACUUUCAAUUGUGAAGAAAAGUUAACGGUUAAUAACCGUUAGCCUUGACGUUAACUUUAGAAGAAGCACCGGCUAACUCCGUGCCAGCAGCCGCGGUAAUACGGAGGGUGCAAGCGUUAAUCGGAAUUACUGGGCGUAAAGCGUGCGUAGGCGGUUUAUUAAGUCAGAUGUGAAAGCCCCGGGCUUAACCUGGGAACUGCAUUUGAAACUGGUCAACUAGAGUAUGGUAGAGGAAAGUGGAAUUUCUGGUGUAGCGGUGAAAUGCGUAGAUAUCAGAAGGAACAUCAAUGGCGAAGGCAGCUUUCUGGACCAAUACUGACGCUGAGGUACGAAAGCGUGGGUAGCAAACAGGAUUAGAUACCCUGGUAGUCCACGCCAUAAACGAUGAUAACUAGCCGUUGGGGGGAUUUACCCUUUAGUGGCGAAGCUAACGCGUUAAGUUAUCCGCCUGGGGAGUACGGCCGCAAGGUUAAAACUCAAAGGAAUUGACGGGGACCCGCACAAGCGGUGGAGCAUGUGGUUUAAUUCGAUGCAACGCGAAGAACCUUACCUGGUCUUGACAUCCUGCGAACUUUCUAGAAAUAGAUUGGUGCCUUCGGGAACGCAGUGACAGGUGCUGCAUGGCUGUCGUCAGCUCGUGUCGUGAGAUGUUGGGUUAAGUCCCGUAACGAGCGCAACCCCUAUCCUUAUUUGCCAGCACGUCAUGGUGGGAACUAUAAGGAGACUGCCGGUGAUAAACCGGAGGAAGGCGGGGACGACGUCAAGUCAUCAUGGCCCUUACGACCAGGGCUACACACGUGCUACAAUGGGAAGGACAAAGAGCCGCGAAGCCGCGAGGUGUAGCUAAUCUCAGAAACCUUUUCGUAGUCCGGAUUGGAGUCUGCAACUCGACUCCAUGAAGUCGGAAUCGCUAGUAAUCGUAGAUCAGAAUGCUACGGUGAAUACGUUCCCGGGUCUUGUACUCAC